GGUGGCUCAGUGGUAGAGUGCUUGCCUUGCAUGCAUGAGGUCCUGAGUUUGAUUCCUCAGCACCA
Molecule: transfer RNA, 65 nt
Filed under: Dipodomys ordii (Ord's kangaroo rat)
Lineage: Eukaryota; Metazoa; Chordata; Mammalia; Rodentia; Heteromyidae
Rfam family: tRNA
About the family: Transfer RNA (tRNA) molecules are approximately 80 nucleotides in length. Their secondary structure includes four short double-helical elements and three loops (D, anti-codon, and T loops).
Source: Rfam by way of RNAcentral